This 227-nucleotide ribosomal RNA is filed under the name uncultured bacterium. RNAcentral's name for it is "partial 16S ribosomal RNA". It matches the Rfam family "Bacterial small subunit ribosomal RNA", at positions 794 to 1022 of the family's 1533-position model. The record is from RNAcentral.
UCCUGGCUGUAAACGAUGGAUGCUAGAUGUGGAUAGGUAAAUCCUAUCCGUGUCGUAAGCUAACGCGUUAAGCAUCCCGCCUGGGGAGUACGGGCGCAAGCCUGAAACUCAAAGGAAUUGACGGGGACCCGCACAACCGGUGGAGCGUCUGGUUUAAUUCGAUGCUAACCGAAAACCUACAGGGCUUGACAUGCGUGUGUCGUGCUGAAAGUCACUAGUGUCCCAUU